RNAcentral lists this ribosomal RNA (203 nucleotides) under Alexandrium margalefii. RNAcentral describes it as "partial Bacterial small subunit ribosomal RNA". It matches the Rfam family "Bacterial small subunit ribosomal RNA", at positions 106 to 312 of the family's 1533-position model. The record is from RNAcentral. Lineage: Eukaryota; Dinophyceae; Gonyaulacales; Pyrocystaceae.
GUGAGUAACGCGUGGGAAUCUACCUGGUAGUGGAGGAUAACUCGAGGAAACUCGAGCUAAUACUGCGUACGCCCUACGGGGGAAAGCGGGGGAUCUUCGGACCUCGCGCUAUCAGAUGAGCCCGCGUCAGAUUAGCUUGUUGGUGAGGUAAAGGCUCACCAAGGCGACGAUCUGUAGCUGGUCUGAGAUGAUGAUCAGCCACA